CCUGGCAGGUCACAGUCCAUGGGGUUGCAAAGAGUCGGAUGCAACGGCAACAACUAACACUUUCACCUCACUUUUGCUGGUUCUUCUGCUCUUUCCCUGAACCUCUGUCAGGCCAACCCCUUCAAAGCCUAGACCAGAAAGCAUGUUUCCUGAGCAAACACCCCUAGCUAUCCCUCAGGAGCCCUCCCAUAGCGCAUCCCACAGCUUGGGAUCUCCGCCCAGUCUGCCCUGUGAAUCCUGGCUGUACUGACAGAGGACUUCCUCUGACUUCCCCAACUGCCUGGAGAUGAGAAUGUUUUUGUCAUCCCCAGGACUCCUAUGAUGCUCAGGACAGUGCCUUGCAUACGGACGCUCUUCAAUUCAGAUUUGUUGAAGUGGGAGAAAAUGUUUCUUGAUACAGAGAGAGGAGGAAACCCACUCCAUAGAGCUUCUAACUAACUGUGGCUACAGGUAAGGAAGGAAUCACUGGCUGAGGCACCCAGAGAGGAACAACCAUCCAGCUCCUGCCAUCACCUUGGUCUACGUCCAGCACAGCUGGGUCUCCUGGGGGGCAGCAGGUCCUCCACCUGGCUGGAGAGGCCCGAGGGCUGAGUGGCUUUGGGAAGCGGCACAGUCCUAGAAAGUCAGCUCCUUCUUGGGAGAUGGGGCACUGGAACUGCAACCCUAGCCCACCCGCCAACUUGCCAUGUGACCCUAGGGAGGAGCCCCAUCCAGCAGACAGACACCACCCAUGGAGCCCUUUCUCUGGUUGGUUAUGGCUUGUCAGUCACAGGGGACCCCACCUCGAGCUUUUGCUGAGGAUCCAGGGCUCAGGGCACUCCAGAGCCAAUUGUUCCCAGUGUAUAGCCUGGCUCCCAACGUCAGUACCAGCCCUCGUGCACAGCAUUCAGAUGCUAACAGCAGCGGUGGGACUCAGUGACCCAGAAGGAAAAGCAGCCUUGCGCCCCCUAAUCCCCAGUCACCUGACUUGGGGCCUUUCUGCACACACAUUCCCCCACCCCUGUUCACUGUGCUUGUCUGUCACAGGCCUCUGAGGGGACUUGAAGGGUGGGCCUCUCAGAGCUGACAGCCACCGGGUUGCAAAAGAAACCAUCUUUCCUCUCUGUUGGCACAAGAAAGAAAGUCCUUAAACUGUGAUCACACUAGGCGACACUGUCUCCUCAGCGGGGGGAGAGCCCUGCACGGCGCCCUUUCAUUUGUGGCCGCAGCUGAUCCACCUUUUCAUCACACAGCCGACGCUCAGGCUGAACAGAAAGCAAGCAUCAAAGGCGCAGACCUCCUCGCCCCGCUCCAAAAUUCCGCAGCCUUUGUUGUCCCUGGAGCUGGGUGGUUAUUGAACUUUGCAGACCUGCUGGGCCUGGAAAGUGAAAACACCCUCCCAAGCCAGCAGGGGUGGUGCUCUGGGCCCAGGCGAUAGGCCGGCCUGUCGGGAGGCUGGGCGGUUGCCAUGGCGCCCUGACACCGAGAUCAUGCCUUAUGAAUGUCACCGAGGUCUGUGACUGAAGUUGUUUAUGAGUCAAAAGUCUCAUGAAGCUGCGGGAGGAAAUGAUGACCGCAGCUCGGAGGGCUGUGGGAAAGGAGGAUGCGGCGGGGCCGAUGCGCUUCCCCCCUCGGUUUGCUAAGGAAGACCGUCCUUAAAUACGACACGCAGAGAGAGACACACUGAACACAGGACAUGUCAUUCGUCACCGCACAUGAGCCAGCAAGGGAGAGGGGUCUGUUAAAUCGGAUACUGUAGUUCUAAAAGAUAUCAGUUCCGAGCUGUGGCUCACGAAACAGCACCAAGCCCUGUUCUGCAGGCCCCAGAAGGUGCUGCCCCUUCCUUUCAUCUGGUCCUCUCUCGUCCCUUCAGCCUGAAAUGUUUCCACUGUCUUAACUCCAAACCCUGAGGUCCCAGGUAAUCCAUAACGUCAUGAGCACCCCUUCUUUCCACCCAGGAAAGUUUUAAAUAGCAGCUAUGCUUGUUAUUUCUGAGAUACAGACAUUCUAAAAAGUCCCACCUGAAGCGCGAGAGGAUCACAGUGAGGAAAGAUAGUGAGAGGGCUGCUGGGGGGUAUGCCUAGGUUUACCUUCUAUUUCUGGCCUCUCUGUCACACUGAGGAGAGGGGCAUCUCUUCUGUUUGGAGGGUGAGGUUUAAGACAGCAAGCACACCCAGAGCUUUCUCCUUUCAACAUGGAGAAGAAAGGAAAGGAGGCGGUGGGCAGUGCACAGCUGGGCAAAGACAGGUGCAUCCCGAGGAAAGCAGCAGAAUCGACAGCAAGAGCAUCAGUGGCCCAGGGGACAGUGGGGAUGCUUUGGGAAAGUUAUUGUAUGUGCACACAAGUUAAUCCUUACGGCUGAAGUUCACAGGUGUGUAAGAAGUCCUUAAAUUCAUGUCACAAACUAUAAAAGUCUUGUUUUUUGAAAAGGA
Capra hircus (goat) is the source of this 2411-nucleotide long non-coding RNA. RefSeq lists it as uncharacterized. The transcript is spliced from 2 exons. Lineage: Eukaryota; Metazoa; Chordata; Mammalia; Artiodactyla; Bovidae. The record is from RefSeq and is a predicted model, not a curated record.